GUGCUUGUUUCUGCAGCACCUGUACUAAAUUUGGAACGAUACAGAGAUUAGCAUGGCUACUUUGCAUGACAUGCAAAUUCACGAAAUGUUUCAUAUUUUA
RNAcentral lists this small nuclear RNA (100 nucleotides) under Cebus imitator (Panamanian white-faced capuchin). The record is from RNAcentral. Lineage: Eukaryota; Metazoa; Chordata; Mammalia; Primates; Cebidae.